RNAcentral lists this ribosomal RNA (330 nucleotides) under uncultured eukaryote. RNAcentral describes it as "partial 18S ribosomal RNA". It matches the Rfam family "Eukaryotic small subunit ribosomal RNA", at positions 1470 to 1796 of the family's 1831-position model. The record is from RNAcentral.
CCCUUAGAUGUUCUGGGCCGCACGCGCGCUACACUGACGAUGGCAACGAGUUUUUCCUUCGCCGAAAGGUGUGGGUAAUCUUUUGAAACAUCGUCGUGCUGGGGAUAGAUCAUUGCAAUUUUUGAUCUUGAACGAGGAAUUCCUAGUAAGCGCGAGUCAUCAGCUCGCGUUGAUUACGUCCCUGCCCUUUGUACACACCGCCCGUCGCUACUACCGAUUGAAUGGUUUAGUGAGAUGUUUGGACCGGAACUCUCUUGCUCAGCAAUGGGCGAGAGAGAGUCUGGGAAGUCCCUCUAACUGUAUCAUUUAGAGGAAGUAAAAGUCGUAACA